RNAcentral lists this ribosomal RNA (503 nucleotides) under uncultured bacterium. RNAcentral describes it as "bacterial SSU rRNA". It matches the Rfam family "Bacterial small subunit ribosomal RNA", at positions 33 to 518 of the family's 1533-position model. The record is from RNAcentral.
ACGACGCUGGCGGCGCGCCUAACACAUGCAAGUCGAACGGGACGUAGUGACCGGAGAUUAGAGCUUGUGUUCUAGUUGCGAUCACUAGUUCAGUGGCGGACGGGUGAGUAAAGCAUGAGCAACCUGCCUAGUAGAGGGGGAUAGCUUUUGGAAACAGAAGAUAAUACCGCAUGAAUCAGAGAUUUCGCAUGAGAUUUUUGGAAAAGGAGCAAUCCGCUAUUAGAUGGGCUCAUGUCCGAUUAGCUAGUUGGUGAGGUAAAGGCUUACCAAGGCAACGAUCGGUAGCCGUACUGAGAGGUUCAACGGCCACAUUGGGACUGAGACACGGCCCAGACUCCUACGGGAGGCAGCAGUGAGGGAUAUUGCGCAAUGGAGGAAACUUCUGACGCAGCGACGCCGCGUGAAGGAAGAAGGUCCUCGGAUUGUAAACUUCUGUCCUCAGGGAAGAAACAAAUGACGGUACCUGGGGAGGAAGCCCCGGCUAACUACGUGCCAGCCGCAGC